UUAUCGGUACGGGUUGUGGGAGCAAGAUCCUGGAGAUGGAUUCUGAGACAUGAAUCCAGGCCCUACGGGGCGCAGCAGGCGCGCAAACUUUACAAUGCGAGCAAUCGUGAUAAGGAAACCCUGAGUGCCUGUCGAUGCAGGCUGUUCAUAUAUUUAAAUUGUAUGUGAAGAAAGGGCAGGGCAAGACCGGUGCCAGCCGCCGCGGUAAUACCGGCUGCUCGAGUGAUGGCCACUAUUACUGGGUUUAAAGCGUCCGUAGCUUGAUUUUUAGGUCUCUUGGGAAAUCUUUUGGCUUAACCACAAGGCGUCUAAGAGAUACCGGGAAUCUUGGAACUGGGAGAGGUAAGCCGUACUUCGGGGGUAGGAGUGAAAUCUUGUAAUCCUCGAGGGACGACCUAUGGCGAAGGCAGCUUACCAGAACAGCUUCGACAGUGAGGGACGAAAGCUGGGGGAGCAAACGGGAUUAGAUACCCCGGUAGUCCCAGCCGUAAACAAUGUGCGUUAGGUGUGUCGGUUAUCACGCGUAACUGAUGCGCCGAAGAGAAAUCGUGAAACGCAUCACCUGGGAAGUACGGUCGCAAGGCUGAAACUUAAAGGAAUUGGCGGGGGAGCACCACAACAGGUGGAGCCUGCGGUUUAAUUGGAUUCAACGCCGGA
This 657-nucleotide ribosomal RNA is filed under the name uncultured archaeon. RNAcentral describes it as "bacterial SSU rRNA". It matches the Rfam family "Archaeal small subunit ribosomal RNA", at positions 261 to 922 of the family's 1478-position model. The record is from RNAcentral.